UAGCCGUAAACGAUACUCGCUAGGUGUCGGCCACGGUGCGACCGUUGUCGGUGCCGUAGGGAAGCCGUGAAGCGAGCCACCUGGGAAGUACGGCCGCAAGGCUGAAACUUAGAGGAAUUGGCGGGGGAGCACCACAACGGGUGGAGCUUGCGGUUUAAUUGGAUUCAACGCCGGAAAUCUUACCGGGACCGACAGCAACAUGAAGGCCAGGCUGAAGACUUUGCCGGAUUAGCUGAGAGGAGGUGCAUGGCGUAGUCGUGU
RNAcentral lists this ribosomal RNA (261 nucleotides) under uncultured archaeon. RNAcentral's name for it is "partial 16S ribosomal RNA". It matches the Rfam family "Archaeal small subunit ribosomal RNA", at positions 748 to 1009 of the family's 1478-position model. The record is from RNAcentral.